GAUGAAGAACGCAGUGAAAUGCGAUAAGUAAUGUGAAUUGCAGAAUUCAGUGAAUCAUCGAAUCUUUGAACGCACAUUGCGCCCGCCAGUAUUCUGGCGGGCAUGCCUGUUCGAGCGUCAUUUCAACCAUCAAGCCCCCGGCUUGUGUUGGGGACCUGCGGCUGCCGCAGGCCCUGAAAAGCAGUGGCGGGCUCGCUGUCACACCGAGCGUAGUAGAUUUCAUCUCGCUCAGGGCGUGCUGCGGGUUCCGGCCGUUAAACCACCUUCAUAACCCAAGGUUGACCUCGGAUCAGGUAGGAAGACCCGCUGAACUUAAGCAUAUCAUAAGCGGAGGA
This 335-nucleotide unclassified non-coding RNA is filed under the name soil metagenome. RNAcentral's name for it is "partial contains 5.8S ribosomal RNA, internal transcribed spacer 2, and large subunit ribosomal RNA". The stretch from base 1 to 120 matches the Rfam family "5.8S ribosomal RNA", at positions 35 to 154 of the family's 154-position model. The record is from RNAcentral.